This 377-nucleotide unclassified non-coding RNA is filed under the name uncultured Alphaproteobacteria bacterium. Its description in RNAcentral is "contains 16S-23S intergenic spacer region". The record is from RNAcentral. Lineage: Bacteria; Pseudomonadati; Pseudomonadota; Alphaproteobacteria.
UCCGGCUUGUCACCGGCAGUUUCCUUAGAGUUCCCAGCUUAACCUGUUGGCAACUAAGGAUGAGGGUUGCGCUCGUUGCGGGACUUAACCCAACAUCUCACGACACGAGCUGACGACAGCCAUGCAACACCUGUCUCUUAUCCAGCCGAACUGAAGGCCCUCCAUUACAAGGGCCGCGAUAAGGAUGUCAAGGGUUGGUAAGGUUUUUCGCGUAGCAUCGAAUUAAACCACAUGCUCCACCGCUUGUGCGGGUCCCCGUCAAUUCCUUUGAGUUUUAAUCUUGCGACCGUACUCCCCAGGCGGGGUGCUUAACGUGUUAACUGUGUCACUGAGGAAACCCCCAACGACUAGCACCCAUCGUUUACGGCGUGGACUAC